UUUUAUCGGAGAGUUUGAUCCUGGCUCAGGACGAACGCUGGCGGCGUGCCUAAUACAUGCAAGUCGAGCGGAUCGAUGGGAGCUUGCUCCCUGAGAUCAGCGGCGGACGGGUGAGUAACACGUGGGUAACCUGCCUGUAAGACUGGGAUAACUCCGGGAAACCGGGGCUAAUACCGGAUAA
RNAcentral lists this ribosomal RNA (181 nucleotides) under [Bacillus] enclensis. RNAcentral's name for it is "Bacillus enclensis partial 16S ribosomal RNA". It matches the Rfam family "Bacterial small subunit ribosomal RNA", at positions 1 to 176 of the family's 1533-position model. The record is from RNAcentral. RNAcentral also lists the same sequence under 1 other name. Lineage: Bacteria; Bacillati; Bacillota; Bacilli; Caryophanales; Bacillaceae.